Homo sapiens (human) is the source of this 547-nucleotide long non-coding RNA. RefSeq lists it as uncharacterized. The transcript has 3 exons. NCBI's taxonomy places the organism in Eukaryota, Metazoa, Chordata, Mammalia, Primates, Hominidae. The record is from RefSeq and is a predicted model, not a curated record.
UUAACAUUUUUUUGUCAAAUUCUUAUUUUCAAUAGGAGGUGCAAUUUCUUCCUGCCAAGAUGUUGACUGACACAGCAAUGAGUUCGCUUUUGCUUAUAUUGAGCCUCAGGAGAUUUUGAGAUGUCCAUGAGGGUAGAUCCAGCAGGCCACAAGUGCCAGCAGCUGUACAGAUACUUCUGUUUAGCCAUUUCCACAGUCCAAGGAUAGGUGGAUGAGGAGCAUCCUGCUUUCUCCUGGCUCUGGGGGAAUAAAGAAGGGUGAGUGCUACAGGAAUCUUAAAUAUGGGUGACAUAGGAACCUAAUAAACGUUAAUUUUCCAAGUAGGGGUGUUGACAGGAGGAGGAUAAUGGGGGCCCAGACCAAAUCUCCAUAACUGGUCGCAUGUUCUAAUUUUAGUUUGCUUACAUUGGAUAUUUAUGGGUGUGUCUUUAGAGACUGAAAAGUACUCUUUUUCCUAGCUAUGGGAUUUAUACCUUGUUGGGAAAAUGUAUACAAACUUGCCUCCAUGGCGAGCUAAAUCCUGAGAGUGAACUGGACAUUAUUUGUA